GUAGGAGCUAGCGUUGUCCGGAAUCAUUGGGCGUAAAGCGCGCGUAGGCGGCCCGGUAAGUCCGCUGUGAAAGUCAGAGGCUCAACCUUUGAAUGCCAGCGGAUACUGCCGGGCUAGAGUCCGGAAGAGGCGAGUGGAACUCCUGGUGUAGCGGUGGAAUGCGCAGAUAUCAGGAAGAACACCAACGGCGAAGGCAGCUCGCUGGGACGGAACUGACGCUAAGGCGCGAAAGCGUGGGGAGCGAACAGGAUUAGAUACCCUGGUAGUCCACGCCGUAAACGAUGGGCACUAGGUGUGGGAGGUGUCGACUCCUCCCGUGCCGGCGCUAACGCAUUAAGUGCCCCCGCCUGGGGAGUACGGCCGCAAGGCUA
This 371-nucleotide ribosomal RNA is filed under the name uncultured organism. RNAcentral's name for it is "bacterial SSU rRNA". It matches the Rfam family "Bacterial small subunit ribosomal RNA", at positions 528 to 896 of the family's 1533-position model. The record is from RNAcentral.